AAGUCGUAACAAGGUUUCCGUAGGUGAACCUGCGGAAGGAUCAUUAUCACUAAUUAUCCAAAACCUGGGUAUCCUUCUCUUCACGGAGGAGGAUACUCUAAACCAAACGUGAACUGUAUUGCCUCUGGUUGACGGUUGAUGUAAGAAGAAGUUUUCUUUUUUGAGAAUUUCUUCGUCAAUCCAGAGUGUAUUUUCUUACAUCAAAUUAACCAAUUGAACCGUUUUAAUUUAUAUUGAAUUGUUUGAACUGAAUUUGUUUCUUACCUUUGCUCUUCACGGAGUUUAGGAAGAAAACAUAAUUUACGAAACAAUAUUAAAUAUAACUCUUAGCAACGGAUAUCUUGGUUCUCGUAAAGAUGAAGAACGCAGC
RNAcentral lists this unclassified non-coding RNA (370 nucleotides) under fungal sp. RNAcentral describes it as "partial internal transcribed spacer region". The stretch from base 1 to 46 matches the Rfam family "Eukaryotic small subunit ribosomal RNA", at positions 1786 to 1831 of the family's 1831-position model. Lineage: Eukaryota; Fungi. The record is from RNAcentral.